UACACAGUUUGUCACGCAAGCAGCGAGAUUUAUUGUUUCCUUGUAGUUAAUAGUACAUACUUGUCUGACAUUAAAAGAUAAGCAUUUGAAUAAAGACAGGACAGGAACAUCCUGAGGUCGAGCGGGGUCAUACAUCCUGUAGAAGGGAGGCCUCUCAAAAGCAUGUUACAGAAUACAUCUGCCAAGGUCAGCAUAAUUAUUUCAAA
Non-coding RNA from Pelobates cultripes (western spadefoot toad), 206 nucleotides. The record is from the annotation of a GenBank genome assembly. Lineage: Eukaryota; Metazoa; Chordata; Amphibia; Anura; Pelobatidae.